Molecule: ribosomal RNA, 440 nt
Filed under: uncultured bacterium
Lineage: Bacteria
Description: partial 16S ribosomal RNA
Rfam family: Bacterial small subunit ribosomal RNA
Source: RNAcentral
CCUACGGGAGGCAGCAGUGGGGAAUAUUGCACAAUGGGGGAAACCCUGAUGCAGCGACGCCGCGUGAGUGAAGAAGUAUUUCGGUACGUAAAGCUCUAUCAGCAGGGAAGAAAAUGACGGUACCUGACUAAGAAGCCCCGGCUAACUACGUGCCAGCAGCCGCGGUAAUACGUAGGGGGCAAGCGUUAUCCGGAUUUACUGGGUGUAAAGGGAGCGUAGACGGCAGCGCAAGUCUGGAGUGAAAUCCCAUGGCUUAACCAUGGAACUGCUUUGGAAACUGUGCAGCUAGAGUGCAGGAGAGGUAAGCGGAAUUCCUAGUGUAGCGGUGAAAUGCGUAGAUAUUAGGAGGAACACCAGUGGCGAAGGCGGCUUACUGGACUGUAACUGACAUUGAGGCUCGAAAGCGUGGGGAGCAAACAGGAUUAGAUACCCCGGUAGUC